GGGCCCUACUAUUGGGCAGAGUGAGCUGGCUGCCUCAGGUGGCAGAGUCUAGGAAGCAGCUGUGAGGGGUUGGAGACCAGAGGUGUCUGUGCCACACAAGGACUGAACCUUCGCCUCCUGCACUAGACUGCUGCUCUCAGGUGCAAUGGGAGAUUUAUUUAUUUAUUUAUCCAGUUUAUGUGCCUGCCUCCCUCCCAAAGGAGUCCAGGGUAGCAGGAUGAUGCCCUGUCACCGCCUCCAGCAGUGAUUCAACAGCCAGUCUAGUCAGCUUCUGAACAUGGGAAGGAUGUGGGACCAGGCAGCCCUACAAACAGAGGUCCUCUGCAAAGUAGAACAGAUGGCCACCCUACCUCAAGUGGCAAAAUACAUUAGGGCAGUCCUCUCCCCUAAGGAACACGCUCCUGGCUCUUCGCCAACCCCUGGGCUCAUCCAUUACAGAGGAGGCAAGCCACAUGUCUUGCGAGUCUGAGAUUUGGCUCAGACUUGUUUUCUCUCAAUGUUUUACCUUACAAAUGUAACUGUAGCCACAAGAUGAAGCCUGCCUUCAGAUUACUGCUGUGAACUGAGUAAGAGGGGAAAUAAAGGGGAAAUCGCCAGGAAGAAUCCCAGUCUGCACAAAGGCAUCCUGGAUUGCUUAAUUAAAAGACUGAAACCAUCAGCAGCUUCCUACAAGCUGCAAGGGAAUGUGCUCUGCUGUUUGCUCAUGCGCUGAGUGAGGAGGGAUCAUAUUUAAUCAAUAUAUCCUCUCCUACCUUCGUAAACAUUCCCACAUUAUUAAAAAAAUUUGGGGGGAGUUGUCUAUUUGGGGCGGGGUUGUUGUA
Non-coding RNA from Podarcis muralis (Common wall lizard), 821 nucleotides. The record is from RefSeq and is a predicted model, not a curated record. Lineage: Eukaryota; Metazoa; Chordata; Lepidosauria; Squamata; Lacertidae.